UAGGGAAUCUUCGACAAUGGACGAAAGUCUGACCGAGCAACGCCGCGUGAGUGAAGAAGGUUUUCGGAUCGUAAAACUCUGUUGUUAGAGAAGAACAAGGACGUUAGUAACUGAACGUCCCCUGACGGUAUCUAACCAGAAAGCCACGGCUAACUACGUGCCAGCAGCCGCGGUAAUACGUAGGUGGCAAGCGUUGUCCGGAUUUAUUGGGCGUAAGGCGAGCGCAGGCGGUUUCUUAAGUCUGAUGUGAAAGCCCCCGGCUCAACCGGGGAGGGUCAUUGGAAACUGGGAGACUUGAGUGCAGAAGAGGAGAGUGGAAUUCCAUGUGUAGCGGUGAAAUGCGUAGAUAUAUGGAGGAACACCAGUGGCGAAGGCAGCUCUCUGGUCUGUAACUGACGCUGAGGCUCGAAAGCGUGGGGAGCAAACAGG
RNAcentral lists this ribosomal RNA (429 nucleotides) under Gemmatimonadota bacterium. RNAcentral describes it as "Gemmatimonadetes bacterium partial 16S ribosomal RNA". It matches the Rfam family "Bacterial small subunit ribosomal RNA", at positions 355 to 776 of the family's 1533-position model. The record is from RNAcentral. Lineage: Bacteria; Pseudomonadati; Gemmatimonadota.